CGAGAAGCUUGCUUCUCUGAUGUUAGCGGCGGACGGGUGAGUAACACGUGGAUAACCUACCUAUAAGACUGGGAUAACUUCGGGAAACCGGAGCUAAUACCGGAUAAUAUUUUGAACCGCAUGGUUCAAAAGUGAAAGACGGUCUUGCUGUCACUUAUAGAUGGAUCCGCGCUGCAUUAGCUAGUUGGUAAGGUAACGGCUUACCAAGGCAACGAUGCAUAGCCGACCUGAGAGGGUGAUCGGCCACACUGGAACUGAGACACGGUCCAGACUCCUACGGGAGGCAGCAGUAGGGAAUCUUCCGCAAUGGGCGAAAGCCUGACGGAGCAACGCCGCGUGAGUGAUGAAGGUCUUCGGAUCGUAAAACUCUGUUAUUAGGGAAGAACAUAUGUGUAAGUAACUGUGCACAUCUUGACGGUACCUAAUCAGAAAGCCACGGCUAACUACGUGCCAGCAGCCGCGGUAAUACGUAGGUGGCAAGCGUUAUCCGGAAUUAUUGGGCGUAAAGCGCGCGUAGGCGGUUUUUUAAGUCUGAUGUGAAAGCCCACGGCUCAACCGUGGAGGGUCAUUGGAAACUGGAAAACUUGAGUGCAGAAGAGGAAAGUGGAAUUCCAUGUGUAGCGGUGAAAUGCGCAGAGAUAUGGAGGAACACCAGUGGCGAAGGCGACUUUCUGGUCUGUAACUGACGCUGAUGUGCGAAAGCGUGGGGAUCAAACAGGAUUAGAUACCCUGGUAGUCCACGCCGUAAACGAUGAGUGCUAAGUGUUAGGGGGUUUCCGCCCCUUAGUGCUGCAGCUAACGCAUUAAGCACUCCGCCUGGGGAGUACGACCGCAAGGUUGAAACUCAAAGGAAUUGACGGGGACCCGCACAAGCGGUGGAGCAUGUGGUUUAAUUCGAAGCAACGCGAAGAACCUUACCAAAUCUUGACAUCCUUUGACAACUCUAGAGAUAGAGCUUUCCCCUUCGGGGGACAAAGUGACAGGUGGUGCAUGGUUGUCGU
This 1001-nucleotide ribosomal RNA is filed under the name Staphylococcus aureus. RNAcentral's name for it is "bacterial SSU rRNA". It matches the Rfam family "Bacterial small subunit ribosomal RNA", at positions 72 to 1055 of the family's 1533-position model. Lineage: Bacteria; Bacillati; Bacillota; Bacilli; Caryophanales; Staphylococcaceae. The record is from RNAcentral.